Long non-coding RNA from Panicum virgatum (switchgrass), 1642 nucleotides. RefSeq lists it as uncharacterized. Lineage: Eukaryota; Viridiplantae; Streptophyta; Magnoliopsida; Poales; Poaceae. The transcript is spliced from 3 exons. The record is from RefSeq and is a predicted model, not a curated record.
CCUGCUCCCCGUAACGCUUCACGCCCUCUGCAGCCCACCGCGCCGUCGCCGCCUCCCUCCCGCCGCUGGCCACUGCUCCACGGGAUGGCCUUCGAAGCCUUCUCUGCUCCCCGUGUGGCACCGGCCACGGCUACGCCCGUGGGGGAGGGCGCGUGGGUGCGGGAUGCCGCGUCGGGGAUGGCGGCACCCCUCUCUCUCGUUGCUUUCUCUCUCAGAUCCGGAUGGCGCAGGAUUCGGAGGCGAGAACGACCGGCAUGGGAGGGGAUCCAAUGGGACCGCCGGCGCGGGCAAAGACGCUUCCUGUCGGGGUGUCGCUUCCUAUCUCCUACCUCCCCCCUUCACCUCACCUCUCGCCCUCCGCAUCCCGCCGCCACCUGAUGCCAGGGCGCCGGUCGUUGCUCCACCCAUGAUGCAUGGCCCCGGCCACUGCUCCGCCCAACGCCGCUUGCGCCCUCCUCGCCCUCGCUGCUUGCACCCUCCUCUGUGCUGCUGUGCAGGGGGGAAGUGGUGGCCGCGCGGCGCCGCGAGGGAAGAGGACCUGGGAGCGGUGGCGGAGCGUCGCGAGGACCCGGGGACGGCAACAGCAAGCGGCGGCGCUUGGGCGCAUCGACCCGUGGCGGCAGCCCGGCCGCGUUGACCUGGCGCGGCGUCCCCGCUCCACCCGGCGUCGUGGUGUGGGCGCGCCACCGCUCCGCGGGCGAGGCGGUGGCCGUCAAGUGGAGACGCGCUACCCGCGGCGGCGGCGAGGACGCCCUCCGCGCGGCCUUUCGCCAGGCGCCGCGCGAAUUGACGGAAGCCCCGCCGCGCGCGGAGCGUCGCCCGGCCCACCUCGCAUUGGUGUUGGAUUGAUGGCGCAAGCGGAUUGACGCACAGCCCGCUUCGCAUCGACGCCGCGUGGAGGCUCGGCCAGCCCGCUUCGCAUCAAGCGUGAGCCGCCGCGCCGCCGACCCUGCAAAGCCGCUCUCCCCUUGUGGGGAGCCUGCUCCUUCACGCCAUGCGGAGACGCCAUCCUCCCAAUGCUCAGAGCAUCGGCAACCCGGCCGGCCGGUGCCGUGCGGAGCGUCCGCUGGCCCCUCGCGCUGAGGCAUCACCGCGGAGUCAACCAAUCAAUGCCGUCCUCCCGUUGUGCGGCUCUGGAGGGCGCCUGCUGCUAAUGCCUUUUCCAGGUUGUUCCACUCCACCCCACGGAAAUAAAAAAAUGCUUUGAUUUUGAAGCAUCUGGGACAAGGACUCAGUACAAAACUACAGGUCCCACCAGCGAGGAUGAGGAGGCGACGACCACCAACAAGGCAACAACUCUGCUAUCGGAUUUGAUUUUGUUUGCCUAGCGAGUUCAUGUGUUGUUCCAGUAGGUUCACAUCGAAUUGACGAAAACCUACAGUACUGCUUUCAAUUGUGAUCAAAUUUAUAUUGUUGCAUUCCUGAGUUUAGGGUUGUAUUGGAUUUUAGAGAAUAGGACAUGCUAUUUUGUGGAAUGGAUGCAAUGAAAUAGUAGCAAUUGAUUUCAGCCCACUCUAUUGUUCAGAGAAUAGGACUGGUUAGCUUUAGCAGGUAAAUUUUUAGUUGUAGGUAAUAAAGUUGUGAUUUUAUUCCCCGAAAAUGCAAUCAUCUUAUGAUCCCAUCAAGUUGUGAUUUUACUCUA